GGAGGAGUUUGUGACCCUCCGGUAUCGGCCUGCAGGGGCAGGUAUCAAACCGCCUCCGAGCGGCAUUGGCUAAAGACCGUUGUUGUGAGCAUCGGGCGAAAAGGUGCGAUGAAACAAGCGCAUCAGGU
This 128-nucleotide non-coding RNA is filed under the name Granulosicoccus antarcticus IMCC3135. Lineage: Bacteria; Pseudomonadati; Pseudomonadota; Gammaproteobacteria; Chromatiales; Granulosicoccaceae. The record is from RNAcentral.